This 225-nucleotide ribosomal RNA is filed under the name uncultured bacterium. RNAcentral's name for it is "partial 16S ribosomal RNA". It matches the Rfam family "Bacterial small subunit ribosomal RNA", at positions 15 to 231 of the family's 1533-position model. The record is from RNAcentral.
GAUCAUGGCUCGGGAUGAACGCUAGCUACAGGCUUAACACAUGCAAGUCGAGGGGCAGCAUGGUCUUAGCUUGCUAAGGCCGAUGGCGACCGGCGCGCGGGUGAGUAACACGUAUCCAACCUGCCGUCUACUCUUGGACAGCCUUCUGAAAGGAAGAUUAAUACAAGAUGGCAUCAUGAGUCCGCAUGUUCACAUGAUUAAAGGUAUUCCGGUAGACGAUGGGGA